CAUUCAGAGGUAUUGGGGGUUACAGCUUCAACAUAUGAAUUUGAGGGGAAGGGGACAUAACUCAUUCUAUAAGAAUCAUAUAAAAUCAUCAGAAAAUAAAAGUACAUUUUACUUCAAAGUUUAAAUGAAUACUGAUCAAAAUAUCAAAUAUGAUAAGUGAGUGAAUCAUCCAAAUAAGAUCUAAAACAAUCAUGUUCAGUCCACUUAAAUCUAAUAAAAUUAGUGCAAAUUCAGUGAGUUGACCUUACAAAAAUAAAAAGCCAAUUAUUUCACCAGGAAAAUUAGUUUACAUGGGAAUAGCAGAUGAAUUGCAAUUUGUGACACUCAAAUUAUAACCAACCAUGGGCAGGUCUGAGAAGACAAUGCGAAGUUCAGCUUUUUUAGGUUUUCAGAGGAAAUCAGAGGGUUCUGGUAGUGAUUCAUUGGCUGCAAGCAGUGGGCAGCUUGAUGGCUCAGAAGGAAAUCUUUCUGCUGGAUUCAGUAAGCUGUGGCAAGUGAAACAUGUGUGAGGGCUACUCACCUCCAUUUUACAUGGUUUCCUGUAUUUUCACAAGUGUCAUAGUACUACUUCUGGGCAUGGGGAGAGCAGGCAGAUACACUCAAAUCCAUCAGCUUGUUACUGCUGUCUUGGUGAGUAAAAGCCCAGACUGCCCCUGCACACCACGCAUGCAUAUUGGAACAGAACGUCUCCUCCUAGAGCCAUGUUCUGAAGUUACCAUGGGCUGGCUCUAAUUUAUCUUUGUCUUUUACCACCAGGGCAUUUUCCUGUCUUUUGUAUUUGGCUCUAUAUUUAAAAUUUGCAUAUGUUAUAUUUUUUCUAGUGUGUUCUAUGUGUUUUUAGCAAGAUAUAAGUUAUAUGCACCAGCUGUCUUCCAUAGUUUCUUAAGUCUGAUUUCUCUUUCUCCUGCAGGUUGUUUAGUAUGUUUUGUUUAUGUUCUAUGAUCAACUUGAAUAGUAUUCAGGGACAAAAACAGACAUCUCAUGUCAUAAUUUACUCCUUUUAUUUUACAGUUACUUUUCAUAUGUUAUUCAAUAUACAGGUUGCCUUUGAAUUAAAGAAAUUACUCGGGGAAGUCAAAAAAAUACCAUCUAAUUAAUUAAAACUACAAUUAGUUUUUUUUUUCCUCAAACUGAAAACCUGGUCUUGAAUCUAGAAAUAAAUUCUACUUAUUAAAGAAAAAUAUGAUGAAAAAAAUAUUUGUUCCUGGUACAAAGAGUGUGCUACUCAUAUUACAGAAGGAAGGAAAGUUAAAAUGAAAUUAAACUAUUUCCCAAAUGUAUGUUAUCAAAGAAAAAAUAUACUUAAAGCCAAUCUAUAACACUUCAUUAAAUUUUAGUAACUGGAAUGGAAAUAUAUGAAUCAAUGGAAAGAUGACUACUCAUCCAAUAGUUUUUAUUCUGAAAAUGCCAAGUUGUUAAUGAGUAAAGUGAACAGGAAAAAGACAAGUAAGAAGACAUUUAAACAAUGAGCAGAAUUCCAAAUUUCCAAGCUUUCCCACAGAUGGCUUUAAUUUAAAAGAUACCUUCAUGUAAAUGAUAAGUCAGAUGACAUUGAAUAAAAAAGCUACUUUAAAGUAUAUGAAUAUGUAUGCAAUUAUCCAUAUUGAAAUAAGUAGAACCAAUCACAAUUUUAUAAUUUGAAGUAUCCUUCCAGGAAAUGCUUGUGUCCUGAUGAUGGUGAUUUGUUUUUUAAAUGAAAAUUAAAAUUGUGCUUGUGCUAGAUAGACAUUUAUAUGGUACAAACUUUAGUGUUUCAAAGCUAUUUCUAUUGAGUAUAUUUGGUACAUUUUUACUUUUGACUUAAUACAAAAAAUAUAAAUUAUUCAUGCUAUACAGAGAUAGGUAAUUGAUCUCAUAAGAUUCUGUAAGCAGAGUGUCAUUUCUGAUGAAAGGUAGAAACUUUGGAGUUUUCACCUGCCAUCAGCUAACUGACAGCCUUACCCCAAUCUAAAACCAAGGUAUUGAAUUCCAAUUUGUUCUUCAUGGCUAGUUUUACAUUAGCCUUAACAUGAAGUAAAUUGCUCUAAUAUGGAUAAUAUGAGGAAAAUUACAUGUAACCGAAGUUACAAACAACGUGGUCAUUAAGGAUAUGUAAGUUUCGGGAGAAACCCUACUCAGGGUACAAACAAAGAGUUAAAUAGAUUCAAUAACACAUGAUUAAGUUACUUAAAAAUGAGAGUAAAUAGCCUAAAAAAGUUUGGAGAGGGUAGAUAUGGCUACAGAUGUUAACAACAUUUACUGUGUUAUGUAUUUGGAAGAAUGGAAGGACCCAAACCACACUAAGAAAGGGUUGUAUUCAUAUUUUGUGUUUUCCCAAACACUUUUAUUUUUAACCAAGUAGUAUUAAUAAUACCAAUUAAAACAAAUGCUAAAAUAAUAUAUUACUGAACUUUAAUCCUUUGCCAAAAAGUGUCCAAGGACAUUGUUAAUCUUCCCAUACUCUCAGCAGGCUUGCAUGGGAGAAAGUCUUACUGCUCCCAUUUCACAAAAGAGGAUGCUAAGAUAAAGGCAGGUUAGCAAACUUGCCCAGGGUCACAAAGCAUGUCAGUGGGAAAGACAGGGUGAGUCCACAUAGAAUGUUCUGGUACUGAUGCCCUCAACCACUAUCCUAGGCAAUCUUUAUAAUACAAGUGUGAGUGCACCCACUCACUCCCUCAUAAAAUGACUAUAAAAAGAUCACGCCUAAUAUAAUGUACAGUGUGAUGCAUAAGAGAUACUCAAUAAUUAAAAACACAGGAUAUUAUACAAGAGGUAUUGGAUAAUUAAAAGCUAUCAUUUUCCUGAAAAAAAAAAUCAUUAUUUUAAAAGUAUAGAUAGUUCUACUUACCAAAUAAUACUGCUGUAUAUGUUCUGCAGAUAAUAAAAGUUAAAAAUUAUAAAAAUAAAUGCAACACGCAAUGUACAGUUUGAAUAAUUAAAACGACUUAUUGCAAUAGUUUUUUUUUUCUGAAGUUAGAGUAUAUGUUGAGUUUCAUCCUUUUUAGACAAAAUAGAUUUUUUACAUUAUAAUUUGGACUAGAUUUAUAAAAGUUUUUCAACUAUACAGGCAACAUUUCUGUUUUCAUUAGAAAAGGUAUUCCUUUUCUUUUUCUUUUGAUUUACUAACCAGAAUUAAAACUGCAUUUUUUUCUAUUUUAUGCAGCUCUAGCAAACAAUAUUGAAAAACUGUCUUCAGGAAAUGAUUAUCCUUUAAAAUAUAAUGUUUGAAAGGAUAUGUGUAAAUUCAUAUACAUAUACAUGAAAAAUGUGCUUGUGUGAG
This 3259-nucleotide long non-coding RNA is filed under the name Sus scrofa (pig). RNAcentral's name for it is "lncRNA (ENSSSCG00000061062.1)". The record is from RNAcentral. Lineage: Eukaryota; Metazoa; Chordata; Mammalia; Artiodactyla; Suidae.